UAAUACGUAGGUGGCAAGCGUUGUCCGGAAUUAUUGGGCGUAAAGCGCGCGCAGGCGGCUUCUUAAGUCUGAUGUGAAAUCUUGCGGCUCAACCGCAAGCGGUCAUUGGAAACUGGGAGGCUUGAGUGCAGAAGAGGAGAGUGGAAUUCCACGUGUAGCGGUGAAAUGCGUAGAGAUGUGGAGGAACACCAGUGGAGAAGGCGGCUCUCUGGUCUGUAACUGACGCUGAGGCGCGAAAGCGUGGGGAGCAAACAGGAUUAGAUACCCUGGUAGUCCACGCCGUAAACGAUGAGUGCUAAGUGUUAGAGGGUUUCCGCCCUUUAGUGCUGCAGCUAACGCAUUAAGCACUCCGCCUGGGGAGUACGGCCGCAAGGCUGAA
RNAcentral lists this ribosomal RNA (379 nucleotides) under uncultured bacterium. RNAcentral's name for it is "bacterial SSU rRNA". It matches the Rfam family "Bacterial small subunit ribosomal RNA", at positions 521 to 898 of the family's 1533-position model. The record is from RNAcentral.